Molecule: ribosomal RNA, 406 nt
Filed under: uncultured bacterium
Lineage: Bacteria
Description: partial 16S ribosomal RNA
Rfam family: Bacterial small subunit ribosomal RNA
Source: RNAcentral
AUUGAACGCUGGCGGCAGGCCUAACACAUGCAAGUAGAACGAGUGGCGGACGGGGGAGUAAUGUCUGGGAAACUGCCUGAUGGAGGGGGAUAACUACUGGAAACGGUAGCUAAUACCGAAUAACAUCGGAUGUGCCCAGAUGGGAUUAGCUAGUGGUGGGGGAAAAGGCUCACCUAGGCGACUAUCACUAGCUGGUCUGAGAGGAUGACCAGCCACACUGGAAAUGAGACACGGUCCAGACUCCUACGCGAGGCAGCAGUGGGGAAUAUUUCACAAGGGGCGCAAGUCUGAUGCAGCCAUGCCGCGUGUAUGAAGAAGGCCUUCGGGUUGUAAAGUACUUUCAGCGGGGAGGCGUUACCCGCAGAAGAAGCACCGGCUAACUCCGUGCCAGCCGCCGCGGUAAUUC